AACUGCGAUACCGGACGACUCCACUUUUCUCGUCCGGCAGCGCUAAUAAAAAGGAGGCGUGUUUUUUCCGUAUCGGCUUGCGGUACAGCAGUGUGGAGACCUGCUGUAAUGCCACGGCCACAUAAGCGGGCGGUGGCGAGCUGCGCAGUUAGCAGAUGCUGUGCGCGGUAAAGCCGUGGUAUAUGGCA
This 188-nucleotide non-coding RNA is filed under the name unclassified sequences. RNAcentral describes it as "malK-I RNA". It matches the Rfam family "malK-I RNA". The record is from RNAcentral.